This 65-nucleotide transfer RNA is filed under the name Mactra alta. RNAcentral describes it as "tRNA-Ser". The record is from RNAcentral. Lineage: Eukaryota; Metazoa; Mollusca; Bivalvia; Venerida; Mactridae.
GAGAAAUAUAGGUUAAAUUUAAGCUUCUAACUUAAGUUUGGGUGGGUCGGUCCAUUCAUUUCUUU